UCUAACAGGCAGAGUACUCUACAUUAUAUUGUUUUCUACAGCUUUCUAUUGUAGUGCCUAGGGAGUGCCUAGGGGUAUAUACACAGAAACUGAACAUCGAGCACCAUCUGGCCAGAACGUGGUACAUCGUCACAAGGUCGUUGUUUUUUAAUGCUGUCAAAAGAAUAACAUUAGGCGCGCACCUGCUACUCAGUGAAAUAGCAUGCAUGACGCGCAUACACGCCCCACGCCCUUACAGUGCACGGGCUGCACACAGUGCACGGGCUGCACACAGUGCACGGGCUGCACACAGUGCACGGGCUGCACACAGUGCACGCAGCAAAGAACCUGUGUGUGCUGACGGAUACAAGUGCAACCCCUGCUUACCAUCGUUGGUAUAAGAGGAGUUGCAGCACCAGGACAAUCUGGCGACAAAUAAUAAAAAUAAAACUACCAAAAUAAAACUGGG
Long non-coding RNA from Acipenser ruthenus (sterlet), 448 nucleotides. RefSeq lists it as uncharacterized. Lineage: Eukaryota; Metazoa; Chordata; Actinopteri; Acipenseriformes; Acipenseridae. The transcript is spliced from 3 exons. The record is from RefSeq and is a predicted model, not a curated record.